UACGGAGGGUGCGAGCGUUAAUCGGAAUUACUGGGCGUAAAGCGCACGUAGGCGGUCAGGCAAGUCGGGUGUGAAAGCCCUGGGCUCAACCUGGGGAUUGCAUUCGAAACUAUCUGACUCGAGUAUGGGAGAGGGAAGCGGAAUUUCCGGUGUAGCGGUGAAAUGCGUAGAUAUCGGAAGGAACACCAGUGGCGAAGGCGGCUUCCUGGACUAAUACUGACGCUGAGGUGCGAAAGCGUGGGGAGCAAACAGG
RNAcentral lists this ribosomal RNA (253 nucleotides) under uncultured bacterium. RNAcentral describes it as "partial 16S ribosomal RNA". It matches the Rfam family "Bacterial small subunit ribosomal RNA", at positions 524 to 776 of the family's 1533-position model. The record is from RNAcentral.